RNAcentral lists this signal recognition particle RNA (289 nucleotides) under Jaculus jaculus (lesser Egyptian jerboa). RNAcentral describes it as "Metazoan signal recognition particle RNA (ENSJJAG00000006667.1)". It matches the Rfam family "Metazoan signal recognition particle RNA". From Rfam's summary of the family: The signal recognition particle (SRP) is a universally conserved ribonucleoprotein. The record is from RNAcentral. Lineage: Eukaryota; Metazoa; Chordata; Mammalia; Rodentia; Dipodidae.
ACCAUGGUGGCUUGUGCCUGUAGUCCCAGCUACUCAGGAGGCUGAGACAGGAGGAUCGCUUGAGUCCAGGAGUUCUGGGCCGUAGCGUGCUAUGCUGAUCAGGUGUCGGCACUAAGUUUGGCAUCAAUAUGGUGACCUCCCUCCUGGGAGCGAGGAACUACCACAUUGCCUCCUUAGGCCCAGGUCAAAAACGGAGCAGGUCAAAACUUCCAUGCUGAUCAGUAGUGGGAUCGUGCCUGUAAAUAGCCACUGAACUCCAGCCUGGACAAUAUAGUGAGACCCUGCCUUU